AAGACCAAAAAACGUAAUGCCUCGUAUGUGUAUAUAACUGAAGCUAGCGACGGUUGGCACUCGUGCACUUCAAAUAAAUAGUAUAAGGGCAAGCGGUUGAACAUGAUAACUUUAUAAUAAUGUCAAUUUUUUUAGUCAUACAAUAUUUGCUUUGGCAACACACAGCCAUUUGACGAAUUUCAAAACAAAAUUCUAAAACUGAACAACAUGGAUAGCAAUCACAUGGACUUAAUAAGAACUUUAACAGAAAUAUUCGUUAAUAAUAGCGACGAAAGCUUGGAUACGUGGAAAAUUAUCUUAAUGCCUUUCAUUGAUUCCAAUCAAAAACAGAUAAAUAAAAAUAAGCUGUACAAUGUCUUAAAUAAAGACAAUGUAUUUCGAAAUCCAAUAUUAAAAAGGGAUAGAUAUAUAUUUAAUAAUAAAGGAAAGAAUAUUUUGAAACAAAAAUUACAUGCAGAUUCAUUUUCUGAUGAAAAUGAUAGCAGUUAUGGAGAAUAUUAUGAAAUUCUUAAACGUUCUAGAGGAAAAGGAAAACAAUCACCAGACAGGCAAAAUAAUGGAGCGAAAAUUGCUUAUAAAAAUAGAAAUGGGGUUUUAAAACUCAUGAAUUGUGAAGAAGGAAGAGAAAUUUGUAUCAAGGCUUGCAAAGAAGCGUUGAGCGAAACAUGCUCAAAGGUAUCUUGUACAAACAUUUAUGAUGGAAAACAUGAAAAAUAUUGUAGACGGGAAUGUAUGACACGAUUUUCUUAAUACAAGACAUCAAAUUGUACUAUUAAAUAUUAAAAUAAAUAAUAAAAAUAUUUUAAUUUA
Molecule: long non-coding RNA, 810 nt
Organism: Nymphalis io (European peacock)
Lineage: Eukaryota; Metazoa; Arthropoda; Insecta; Lepidoptera; Nymphalidae
Exons: 2
Source: RefSeq, a predicted model, not a curated record